GUUUUGGGAUUCCUCUUGAUUACAGUUUCGGCUGUAGUUGAGACCCCUUAACGAUCAUGAAAUACCACUACUCUCAUCGUUUCUUUACUUACACGGUGAAAAGGAAAUUGGGAUAGUGUCUCUCUCUUCUGGACUUCGGUUCAGUAGCAGGAGGCCACCUAUCUCUAAAUUCUAGAGCAAAAUGUGGUUCCAUCCAUAUAUGCUUAAGACACCUAAUUGAAUCUUGUUCUUCGGGACUUGAUUUGAUUAAAGACUUGAGUUUGGUUGGUAGCAAAUGUGUAUCAGCAAUGAUACACAUAACUGCAUGAUCCUCGCCGUGGACAUUGUCAGGCGGGCAGUUUGACUGGGGCGGUACAUCUGUCAAAAGGUAACGCAGGUGUCCUAAGGCCAGCUCAGUGAGGCCAGAAACCUCACGUAGAGCAAAAGGGCAAAAGCUGGCUUGAUCCAGACUUUCAGUACGAAUACGGACCGCGAAAGCGGGGCCUAUCGAUCCUUUCGAUGAAUGAGAGUUUCAUCCGAGAGGUGUCAGAAAAGUUACCACAGGGAUAACUGGCUUGUGGCAGCCAAGCGUUCAUAGCGACGUUGCUUUUUGAUCCUUCGAUGUCG
RNAcentral lists this ribosomal RNA (606 nucleotides) under Oligonychus ununguis. RNAcentral's name for it is "eukaryotic LSU rRNA". It matches the Rfam family "Eukaryotic large subunit ribosomal RNA", at positions 2439 to 2886 of the family's 3401-position model. The record is from RNAcentral. Lineage: Eukaryota; Metazoa; Arthropoda; Arachnida; Trombidiformes; Tetranychidae.